GACGAACGCUGGCGGCGUGCUUAACACAUGCAAGUCGAACGGAAAGGCCUGCUUUCCCUUGUGGAUUGCGGGUACUCGAGUGGCGAACGGGUGAGUAACACGUGAGUGAUCUGCCCCCAACUUGGGUAUAAGCCUGGGAAACUGGGUCUAAUUCCCGAUAGGACUGCAGGGUGGUGCCUGUGGUGGAAAACGAUUUUCUAGUGGUUGGGGAUGAGCUCGCGGCCUAUCAGCUUGUUGGUGGGGUAAUGGCCUACCAAGGCGGCGACGGGUAGCCGGCCUGGGAGGGUGGACGGCCACAUUGGGACUGGGAUACGGCCCAGACUCCUACGGGAGGCAGCAGUGGGGAAGAAUGCACAAUGAGCGGAAGCCUGAUGCAGCGACGCCGCGUGGGGGAUGACGGCCUUCGGGUUGUAAACUCCUUGCGACCGCGAGGAAGCCACCUGGUUGGAAGGGUGGUGACGGUAGUGGUAGAAGAAGCACCGGCUAACUACGUG
Molecule: ribosomal RNA, 494 nt
Filed under: uncultured bacterium
Lineage: Bacteria
Description: partial 16S ribosomal RNA
Rfam family: Bacterial small subunit ribosomal RNA
Source: RNAcentral